GACACCCUGUCAUUACGCCACUGCAACCACAAGGCAAUGAACGGGUAGUCUGCAAAAAUUCAUCCUCGUCUUCAAGGCCUUUUUGAAUCGACGGCGACUCUCGUCGAGUGUUGAGUGGGGUUGAGUGACAUCCAGAAUCCAGUGGCAGUAAUGACAGUGACAUUUUGUGACAUCCUUGCCUCCAGGUUUCGGCCGCGGCGCGCCGCUGGCGCUUCGGAGUUCGGCUCAGUGGUUCGACCUCGCGGCUUGCAAAUAGAAUGGCGGUUGUUUUUCUUCAGCAAAUGUGAAAUGUAAAGAAAUAUUUCCAGUACUAUUUGGUAUAUGUUUAAGCCAAAAAUCUCAAGUUAUGCUUUAGUUGCUGGUUUAUUGCCAGAUUGACUGUUAUGCAACAUGCUCAUACCUCUACUGCAAGAUUGACUGACUGUUUCACAGCACAUUUGCAUACUUCUACA
Molecule: long non-coding RNA, 452 nt
Organism: Dendronephthya gigantea
Lineage: Eukaryota; Metazoa; Cnidaria; Anthozoa; Malacalcyonacea; Nephtheidae
Exons: 3
Source: RefSeq, a predicted model, not a curated record